Molecule: non-coding RNA, 525 nt
Organism: Pelobates cultripes (western spadefoot toad)
Lineage: Eukaryota; Metazoa; Chordata; Amphibia; Anura; Pelobatidae
Source: the annotation of a GenBank genome assembly
AGCAUCUGGAGUUGGUAGAUUGGUGUCUUCCAGGGGAGACUGGUAUGUCAAGGGACUAUCGCAACCAACUAGAGACCUACUAUGGGACUCAUGGACGCCAGGUAUUCCCCCGAAAUAACUUAUCCGCAUGGAACACCUUGAGUUCGCUGGUGUAUGGGAAGGGACUGCGAUCCCUUUAUUACCCCUAUCUCCACGAUGCUGGAUCUUUAUCAUACCUUUUCACUACAGGCCGAUGGGAACGUUCCAUUAACGGGCUACGUUCCGCGAUUUCGACGAUGCAUAGCACGAUUCACGACACUCCGGUCAAUCAAGAGCAUUUGAUAUGCCAUUUUCUGUGGGGUAUCAAACCGUCCAGAACCAUGCGUCAAAGUAUCACUGGUGUGGGACUUUGAUUUGGUUCUUUUGGAGCUAGUCAGAUAUCACGGUCCUAUCCCUCAGUCAGCCAUUAGCCAGAGUCACGUUACUUUUAGGUCUUUUCGUCGGGUAUCAGAUGUACUGGAGUUCGACGUAGACGGUCUUUUCGGU